GAUGAACGCUGGCGGCGUGCCUAAUACAUGCAAGUCGAGCGAACGGACGAGAAGCUUGCUUCUCUGAUGUUAGCGGCGGACGGGUGAGUAACACGUGGAUAACCUACCUAUUAGACUGGGAUAACUUCGGGAAACCGGAGCUAAUACCGGAUAAUAUUUUGAACCGCAUGGUUCAAAAGUAAAAGACGGUCUUGCUGUCACUUAUAGAUGGAUCCGCGCUGCAUUAGCUAGUUGGUAAGGUAACGGCUUACCAAGGCAACGAUGCAUAGCCGACCUGAGAGGGUGAUCGGCCACACUGGAACUGAGACACGGUCCAGACUCCUACGGGAGGCAGCAGUAGGGAAUCUUCCGCAAUGGGCGAAAGCCUGACGGAGCAACGCCGCGUGAGUGAUGAAGGUCUUCGGAUCGUAAAACUCUGUUAUUAGGGAAGAACAUAUGUGUAAGUAACUGUGCACAUCUUGACGGUACCUAAUCAGAAAGCCACGGCUAACUACGUGCCAGCAGCCGCGGUAAUACGUAGGUGGCAAGCGUUAUCCGGAAUUAUUGGGCGUAAAGCGCGCGUAGGCGGUUUUUUAAGUCUGAUGUGAAAGCCCACGGCUCAACCGUGGAGGGUCAUUGGAAACUGGAAAACUUGAGUGCAGAAGAGGAAAGUGGAAUUCCAUGUGUAGCGGUGAAAUGCGCAGAGAUAUGGAGGAACACCAGUGGCGAAGGCGACUUUCUGGUCUGUAACUGACGCUGAUGUGCGAAAGCGUGGGGAUCAAACAGGAUUAGAUACCCUGGUAGUCCACGCCGUAAACGAUGAGUGCUAAGUGCUAGGGGGUUUCCGCCCCUUAGUGCUGCAGCUAACGCAUUAAGCACUCCGCCUGGGGAGUGCGACCGCAAGGUUGAAACUCAAAGGAAUUGACGGGGACCCGCACAAGCGGUGGAGCAUGUGGUUUAAUUCGAAGCAACGCGAAGAACCUUACCAAAUCUUGACAUCCUUUGACAACUCUAGAGAUAGAGCCUUCCUCUUCGGGGGACAAAGUGACAGGUGGUGCAUGGUUGUCGUCAGCUCGUGUCGUGAGAUGUUGGGUUAAGUCCCGCAACGAGCGCAACCCUUAAGCUUAGUUGCCAUCAUUAAGUUGGGCACUCUAAGUUGACUGCCGGUGACAAACCGGAGGAAGGUGGGGAUGACGUCAAAUCAUCAUGCCCCUUAUGAUUUGGGCUACACACGUGCUACAAUGGACAAUACAAAGGGCAGCGAAACCGCGAGGUCAAGCAAAUCCCAUAAAGUUGUUCUCAGUUCGGAUUGUAGUCUGCAACUCGACUACAUGAAGCUGGAAUCGCUAGUAAUCGUAGAUCAGCAUGCUACGGUGAAUACGUUCCCGGGUCU
This 1372-nucleotide ribosomal RNA is filed under the name uncultured bacterium. RNAcentral describes it as "bacterial SSU rRNA". It matches the Rfam family "Bacterial small subunit ribosomal RNA", at positions 28 to 1381 of the family's 1533-position model. The record is from RNAcentral.